This 46-nucleotide non-coding RNA is filed under the name Trichobilharzia regenti. The record is from RNAcentral. Lineage: Eukaryota; Metazoa; Platyhelminthes; Trematoda; Strigeidida; Schistosomatidae.
CUCGUGCUGAAGAGUCCCAAACCAGGACGAAACAGAUGUCCAGUAC